This 483-nucleotide ribosomal RNA is filed under the name Methylophilus sp. Its description in RNAcentral is "bacterial SSU rRNA". It matches the Rfam family "Bacterial small subunit ribosomal RNA", at positions 274 to 749 of the family's 1533-position model. Lineage: Bacteria; Pseudomonadati; Pseudomonadota; Betaproteobacteria; Nitrosomonadales; Methylophilaceae. The record is from RNAcentral.
CUUCGAUCAGUAGCUGGUCUGAGAGGACGACCAGCCACACUGGAACUGAGACACGGUCCAGACUCCUACGGGAGGCAGCAGUGGGGAAUUUUGGACAAUGGGCGCAAGCCUGAUCCAGCCAUUCCGCGUGAGUGAAGAAGGCCUUCGGGUUGUAAAGCUCUUUCGCAAGGGAAGAAAACUUACUUUCUAAUAAAGAGUGAGGCUGACGGUACCUUGAUAAGAAGCACCGGCUAACUACGUGCCAGCAGCCGCGGUAAUACGUAGGGUGCGAGCGUUAAUCGGAAUUACUGGGCGUAAAGCGUGCGCAGGCGGUUUGGCAAGUCAGAUGUGAAAUCCCCGAGCUCAACUUGGGAACUGCGUUUGAAACUGCCAGACUAGAAUAUGUCAGAGGGGGGUAGAAUUCCACGUGUAGCAGUGAAAUGCGUAGAGAUGUGGAGGAAUACCAAUGGCGAAGGCAGCCCCCUGGGAUAAUAUUGACGCUCA